Molecule: ribosomal RNA, 375 nt
Filed under: uncultured bacterium
Lineage: Bacteria
Description: bacterial SSU rRNA
Rfam family: Bacterial small subunit ribosomal RNA
Source: RNAcentral
UAGCCGGCCUGAGAGGGCGACCGGCCACACUGGGACUGAGACACGGCCCAGACUCCUACGGGAGGCAGCAGUGGGGAAUAUUGCGCAAUGGGCGAAAGCCUGACGCAGCAACGCCGCGUGAGGGAUGAAGGCCUUCGGGUUGUAAACCUCUUUCAGCAGGGAAGAAGCGAAAGUGACGGUACCUGCAGAAGAAGCACCGGCUAACUACGUGCCAGCAGCCGCGGUAAUACGUAGGGUGCAAGCGUUGUCCGGAUUUAUUGGGCGUAAAGAGCUCGUAGGCGGUUAGUCACGUCGGAUGUGAAAAUCCAAGGCUUAACCUUGGACCUGCAUUCGAUACGGGCUGACUAGAGUGUUGUAGGGGAGAUGGGAAUUCCU